Molecule: long non-coding RNA, 434 nt
Filed under: Vigna radiata
Lineage: Eukaryota; Viridiplantae; Streptophyta; Magnoliopsida; Fabales; Fabaceae
Description: long non-coding RNA (VRAD_LNC006493)
Source: RNAcentral
UUCUGAUUUUCACUUUUUGGAUUCUCGCGGUGGUCGCAAUGGCAGUGGCAACCGUUUCUUAGUGGUUGUCGGAGUUGUGCGAGUGGCGUCGCCGUGGAUGCUGUCGGAGUGUUGCGGCGGUUGGCCGUGGAGUCCCUGAAUUGAAUAUUAUGUUUGGCUUGGCAGAUUAGGGUGGUCUGGUUAGGCCAGUGGUUUAGUUUGGACUUGGAUUUGGGUCGGAUUGAUUUGACAGUGGGCCAACCUUGACUAAUGAUUGAAAUGAGUGAGUGUUGAAGUUAGGAUGAGUGAGUGUUGGAAUUGUACCUGAACGAGUGGCUGAUCGAUGAGCAUAAGAGUGAGGGAUAAGUUCGCUUUCUGUACCUAGUAAAGCCUGAGACUAUCGACCGAUUGAGAUAGCAACUUCCUUUGGCCUUGUGUGCGAAAAGGGAGUGCUC